GCUGCUGAAGUUGUAGAUUGAGCUCUACCAUUAUUUCCUCCUUGACCUUGUCUAGAAGGACAAUCCUUCAAUCUAUGACCAGACUGACCACACCCAAAGCAUCCUUCCUUACCUGCAAGGCACUCGCCCGGAUGGUUCUUACUACAUUUCGGGCAAGUUGAGUAGGUUUUGUUGCCUGAAACACUACCUUGAGACUUAGAGCCU
RNAcentral lists this long non-coding RNA (204 nucleotides) under Solanum tuberosum (potato). Its description in RNAcentral is "long non-coding RNA (STUB_LNC004764)". Lineage: Eukaryota; Viridiplantae; Streptophyta; Magnoliopsida; Solanales; Solanaceae. The record is from RNAcentral.